Long non-coding RNA from Lotus japonicus, 1310 nucleotides. RefSeq lists it as uncharacterized. NCBI's taxonomy places the organism in Eukaryota, Viridiplantae, Streptophyta, Magnoliopsida, Fabales, Fabaceae. The record is from RefSeq and is a predicted model, not a curated record. The transcript has 9 exons.
GGUUGUGGAGUUUUACCACUCACUGAUGAGGAGAGAAUCACAGUCCUGACGGGAGCUGAGUUCCGGCGUGCCGGAGGUGCCGCCGGCGGCGGAAAAUCCACGUGACGUGAUCGGAGAGAUUGAGAACCGCUCAACUCACCUGCUAGCGAUCAAAACUGAUGUGGAAACACAAGGAGAUUUCAUUAGAUGCUUAAUCAAAGAAGUGGAGGGUCUGCAUUUACUGACAUUGAAGAUGUGGUACUCUUUGUUAAAUGGCUUAAUGAUGAUCUCUCCUACUUGUGGAUGAAAGAGCAGUGCUGAAACACUUUGAUUGGCCGGAGCAGAAAGCCGAUGCUCUACGCGAGGCUGCGUUCGGGUAUUGUUAUUUGAAGAAGUUGGAAUCCGAGGUUUCAUCCUUCCGCUAUGAUCCUAGGCAGCCAUGUGGUCCAGCACUCAAGAAGAUGCAUGCUCUGUUGGAAAAAUUAGAGCAUGGGGUUAAUAAUAUCUCAAGAAUGAGAGAGGCAGCAACCAAUAGAUACAAAGUCUUCCAAAUACCAGUACAUUGGAUGCUUGAUAAUGGUUUUGUGAGUCAGGUAAUUUUGAUGUAUCAAUUGAGAAGUUUUUAUAUUGCGUGUUUGUGUUCUUAGGUUAGAGGUGGUAAUUUGUUUUGUUGAUGCAUUUUUUUAAGGAGAACAUUGAGGUAUUUGUGGACCAAAAUGGGAAACUUAUUCCUCAAGCUCUUUCUUAUUGCGAGAGAGGUUAUGGAACUAUGUGUGUGACAAGGCCAUCAAGGUAAUUAGAUACCUCAAAUUCUUGCAAGCACCGUUUUGUGUGCAGGAAUUUCAGUUUCGAUUGAUCCGGUGUUGAACUUAUCGAACAAUACCAGUGGAGGAGAGGGAGUGUCUGAAACGAGGGUCUGGUGAAGCUUUGAGCAGCAGCGGCUAUGGCUAUGUUGAGAUGCGAUUGGAUAGACAUCCACUGGCCACUGCUCUCAACUUAUCAGGAUUUGAAUUUCUGGUUCCAGUUCCUGAACACUUGAGAACUAACGUGUGUGGGGUUUUGUUGAAAUUGAGAACUUGAAGAAGGUAGAAGUGUAGAACUAGAAGGAGAAGAUUAAAGAAUACUUACAAGCAGCACCAUAUAUCAAGACUAGAUGCAGUGCUUAGCAACGUACUAAGGAGGAAAUGAGUGUUACCUGAAAUAUCUCAACUUAUGGUGAUGAAGUCAUUGUUCUUGAUGCCCUUGCUAUGGAUAUGAUUUAGCAGGACUAUAUCUUUUGAAGUUUAUAUAGUUGGGCUCCUAAACUAAUGCGAACUGAUGAUUUUGUUAUU